RNAcentral lists this unclassified non-coding RNA (338 nucleotides) under Hevea brasiliensis (rubber tree). Lineage: Eukaryota; Viridiplantae; Streptophyta; Magnoliopsida; Malpighiales; Euphorbiaceae. The record is from RNAcentral.
UAAAAUCAUGUGAAAGCAAUCAGACGCUCAAUUUUUCACACUUUAAUUCAUGGUUAUUACAACUUUCACCUUUCAAAUUUCAAUAUUUAACAAAUGAAUAAAUUUUCAUACAAAUUUUUGGUUUUAGCAAUUUAAUAAAUUGAGUCACAUUUUAAAUACAAAAGGACAACAAAUUAGCAGAUCCCCAUGGUAACAGUGUUCUACACUUCUAGUAAAGUUGUCACUGCAGAUUAACAGAUCAAAUUGACAUCAUUCAUAAGAGAACUAGCACAAAUUCACCAAAUCAAAUAGAGAAAGAACUAACAGUAACAGUUAUUCAUGCUACAUAUACAUGCCUG